RNAcentral lists this ribosomal RNA (278 nucleotides) under uncultured bacterium. Its description in RNAcentral is "partial 16S ribosomal RNA". It matches the Rfam family "Bacterial small subunit ribosomal RNA", at positions 29 to 334 of the family's 1533-position model. The record is from RNAcentral.
AACGUACGCUGGCGGCACGCCUAACACAUGCAAGUCGAACGCAGUAGCAAUACUGAGUGGCAAACGGGUGAGUAUAAUGUGGGAAUCUGCCUUUUGGUUUGGAAUAACACGGGGAAACUUGUGCUAAUACCGAAUAAGCCCUUACGGGGAAAGUUUUAAUGCCGAAAGAUGAGCCCGCACUUGAUUAGCUAGUUGGUAAGGUAAAAGCUUACCAAGGCAACGAUCAAUAGCUGUUCUUAGAGGAAGACCAGCCACAUUGGGACUGAGACACGGCCCAG